AUGAAACGGUCAAAGCAAAAAUAUUUUAUAUCACACCGACCGUCCCUAGAGCAAGUGGCAAAUGGCUUGGUGGUUGGUACCUGAGACCCAAGUUUGAAUCCUAGUUGAUUCACAUUUCCGGCUAAGUGUGGUUUCGCACUUUCUCACUUUAGUACCCUAUAGUUUAAAGUGUAUCAAUUUAGUACCAUAUAAUUUUGCACUUUCUCACUUUAGUACUAUAUGCUUUCAAGUGUAUCAAGUUAGUACCCCGUGGUUUUCUUUUUGUAUCAAUUUAGUAUCCUGCGGUUUUCAUUUUAUCUUUUUAUUAUCCAUUUUGGGAUAUAUAAUUUAACGAAAUAUUAAACCACAGAGUACUAAAGUGAGAAAGUGCGAAACCACAUGGCACUAACUUGAUAUACUUGAAACCACAGGUACUAAAGUGAAAAAGUGCGAAAUCAUAUAUACUAACUUGAUACACUUUAAACCAUAGGGUACUAAAAUGAGAAAGUGCGAAACCACACGGGGUAUUUGAAGUUUCUCCUGACGUGACUGAAUUAUAUAUAGAAUAUAUCCUUUAAUAUCGAGUUUAAUGACUCACUUGUACUGUGCCCGUCCAGGGGGAUACCAACCCUAAUUACUGCAACGUGUUAUGUCCAUUCACGUACAGUGCAACUUAUUGUUCUAACACCCCUAUAUUUAUUAGUAAAUUAAAGUAGCAGCAUUUUAAUUGGUGGCCGUUGGGUUGAUCCAUAUAUCUUUUAUCUAUAUCUAUACUAUAUAUAAAAGCACGUAUUUUAAAUUUAGGUCUGUCGACAGACCCAUUUUUUAGCGGAAAAAAUAUUGAUUCCUUUUUCCGUACGUAAAAUAAAUAACGUAAUGAAACAAAUUUUUAAUUUCUGUUUAUCCCUAAAAUAGAAAAAAAUAUACUUAUCCAAAUUUUUGCCAACCCAAAGAUAUCUACUAUGAAUUUAUAUUUUAAUUAAAAAAUUAUUUAAUUUUUUUAUCUCUAAAAUAGAAAAAAAUUAUACUUAUCCAAAUUUUACCAGAAUAUCUACUGUAAAUCUAUAUUUCAAUUCAAAAUUUAAAAGUAAUUUAC
Molecule: long non-coding RNA, 1075 nt
Filed under: Ananas comosus (pineapple)
Lineage: Eukaryota; Viridiplantae; Streptophyta; Magnoliopsida; Poales; Bromeliaceae
Description: long non-coding RNA (ACOM_LNC032847)
Source: RNAcentral